RNAcentral lists this ribosomal RNA (253 nucleotides) under uncultured bacterium. RNAcentral describes it as "partial 16S ribosomal RNA". It matches the Rfam family "Bacterial small subunit ribosomal RNA", at positions 524 to 776 of the family's 1533-position model. The record is from RNAcentral.
UACGAAGGGGGCUAGCGUUGUUCGGAAUCACUGGGCGUAAAGGGCGUGCAGGCGGCUUGAUAAGUUCGGCGUGAAAUUUCCCGGCUUAACCGGGGGAUGUCGUCGGAGACUGUCGAGCUAGAGGGUGAUAGAGGCGUGUGGAAUUCCGGGUGUAGUGGUGAAAUGCGUAGAGAUCCGGAGGAACACCAGUGGCGAAGGCGACACGCUGGGUCAUACCUGACGCUAAAACGCGACAGCAUGGGGAGCGAACGGG